This 429-nucleotide ribosomal RNA is filed under the name Gemmatimonadota bacterium. RNAcentral describes it as "Gemmatimonadetes bacterium partial 16S ribosomal RNA". It matches the Rfam family "Bacterial small subunit ribosomal RNA", at positions 355 to 776 of the family's 1533-position model. Lineage: Bacteria; Pseudomonadati; Gemmatimonadota. The record is from RNAcentral.
UAGGGAAUCUUCGGCAAUGGACGAAAGUCUGACCGAGCAACGCCGCGUGAGUGAAGAAGGUUUUCGGAUCGUAAAACUCUGUUGUUAGAGAAGAACAAGGACGUUAGUAACUGAACGUCCCCUGACGGUAUCUAACCAGAAAGCCACGGCUAACUACGUGCCAGCAGCCGCGGUAAUACGUAGGUGGCAAGCGUUGUCCGGAUUUAUUGGGCGUAAAGCGAGCGCAGGCGGUUUCUUAAGUCUGAUGUGAAAGCCCCCGGCGCAACCGGGGAGGGUCAUUGGAAACUAGGAGACUUGAGUGCAGAAGGGGAGAGUGGAAUUUCAUGUGGAGCGGUUAAAUGCGUAGAUCUAUGGGGGAACACCAGUGGCGAACGCCGCUCUCUGGUCUGUAACUGACGCUUAGGCUCGAAAGUGUGGGGAGCAAACAGG